This 67-nucleotide non-coding RNA is filed under the name Acinetobacter brisouii. RNAcentral's name for it is "Fluoride sequence". It matches the Rfam family "Fluoride riboswitch aptamer (crcB RNA motif)". Lineage: Bacteria; Pseudomonadati; Pseudomonadota; Gammaproteobacteria; Moraxellales; Moraxellaceae. RNAcentral also lists the same sequence under 1 other name. The record is from RNAcentral.
ACCUGAUCAGGAGAUGGCAUUCCUCCUGUAACAAACCGCCAUAUCGGCUAAUGAUGCCUACGUCACC